This 229-nucleotide ribosomal RNA is filed under the name uncultured bacterium. Its description in RNAcentral is "partial 16S ribosomal RNA". It matches the Rfam family "Bacterial small subunit ribosomal RNA", at positions 568 to 796 of the family's 1533-position model. The record is from RNAcentral.
UACGUAGGCGGAAAAUCAAGUCAGUGGUGAAAUCCUGCAGCUUAACUGUAGAACUGUCAUUGAUACUGGUUUUCUUGAAUACAGUUGAGGUAGGCGGAAUGUGUAAUGUAGCGGUGAAAUGCUUAGAUAUUACACAGAACACCGAUUGCGAAGGCAGCUUACUAAACUGUUAUUGACGCUGAGGUACGAAAGCGUGGGGAGCGAACAGGAUUAGAUACCCUGGUAGUCC